UUUAGGUAGAGCCUGCUCACUGAUUUUUCAAGAGCCGCAGUACCCUGACUGUGCUAAGGUAGCAUAAUCAUUUGUUAUUUAAUUAAUAACUUGUAUGAAAGGUUUGACGAGAGACUUACUUUCUAUUUGUUAACAAAUAAAAAUUAUACUAGAGUAAAAAAGCUUUACUACUCCAAAAAGACGAUAAGACCCUAGAACCUUUAUCUUUAGAUUUUAUUGGGGCGAUAUGGACCUUAACAGACUAUUCUAUUAACCUUUUUAAGGGCAAUAUUUAACUUCUUUAAAAAAAAAAAGGUACUCUAGGGAUAACAGCAUAAUCUAUCUUGAGAGACCUUAUCGACAGAUAGGAUUUUGACCUCGAUGUUGAAUUGAAUCCCUUUUUAAAGCAGAAUUUACUUAAGGAGGUCUGUUCGAC
Molecule: ribosomal RNA, 415 nt
Filed under: Spherillo grossus
Lineage: Eukaryota; Metazoa; Arthropoda; Malacostraca; Isopoda; Armadillidae
Description: partial 16S ribosomal RNA
Rfam family: Bacterial large subunit ribosomal RNA
Source: RNAcentral